GAUGAACGCUGGCGGCGUGCCUAAUACAUGCAAGUCGAGCGAACAGACGAGGAGCUUGCUCCUCUGACGUUAGCGGCGGACGGGUGAGUAACACGUGGAUAACCUACCUAUAAGACUGGGAUAACUUCGGGAAACCGGAGCUAAUACCGGAUAAUAUAUUGAACCGCAUGGUUCAAUAGUGAAAGACGGUUUUGCUGUCACUUAUAGAUGGAUCCGCGCCGCAUUAGCUAGUUGGUAAGGUAACGGCUUACCAAGGCGACGAUGCGUAGCCGACCUGAGAGGGUGAUCGGCCACACUGGAACUGAGACGCGGUCCAGACUCCUACGGGAGGCAGCAGAAGGGAAUCUUCCGCAAUGGGCGAAAGCCUGACGGAGCAACGCCGCGUGAGUGAUGAAGGUCUUCGGAUCGUAAAACUCUGUUAUUAGGGAAGAACAAAUGUGUAAGUAACUAUGCACGUCUUGACGGUACCUAAUCAGAAAGCCACGGCUAACUACGUG
This 497-nucleotide ribosomal RNA is filed under the name uncultured bacterium. RNAcentral's name for it is "partial 16S ribosomal RNA". It matches the Rfam family "Bacterial small subunit ribosomal RNA", at positions 28 to 507 of the family's 1533-position model. The record is from RNAcentral.